RNAcentral lists this ribosomal RNA (590 nucleotides) under Methylobacterium sp. H6.96. Its description in RNAcentral is "bacterial SSU rRNA". It matches the Rfam family "Bacterial small subunit ribosomal RNA", at positions 61 to 695 of the family's 1533-position model. Lineage: Bacteria; Pseudomonadati; Pseudomonadota; Alphaproteobacteria; Hyphomicrobiales; Methylobacteriaceae. The record is from RNAcentral.
GUCGAGCGGGCACCUUCGGGUGUCAGCGGCAGACGGGUGAGUAACACGUGGGAACGUACCCUUCGGUUCGGAAUAACGCUGGGAAACUAGCGCUAAUACCGGAUACGCCCUUUUGGGGAAAGGUUUACUGCCGAAGGAUCGGCCCGCGUCUGAUUAGCUAGUUGGUGGGGUAAUGGCCUACCAAGGCGACGAUCAGUAGCUGGUCUGAGAGGAUGAUCAGCCACACUGGGACUGAGACACGGCCCAGACUCCUACGGGAGGCAGCAGUGGGGAAUAUUGGACAAUGGGCGCAAGCCUGAUCCAGCCAUGCCGCGUGAGUGAUGAAGGCCUUAGGGUUGUAAAGCUCUUUUGUCCGGGACGAUAAUGACGGUACCGGAAGAAUAAGCCCCGGCUAACUUCGUGCCAGCAGCCGCGGUAAUACGAAGGGGGCUAGCGUUGCUCGGAAUCACUGGGCGUAAAGGGCGCGUAGGCGGCCAUUCAAGUCGGGGGUGAAAGCCUGUGGCUCAACCACAGAAUUGCCUUCGAUACUGUUUGGCUUGAGUAUGGUAGAGGUCAGUGGAACUGCGAGUGUAGAGGUGAAAUUCGUAGAU